CUUGUCUACAUUGAACAGGUUUUCUUCAUAAUAAAAAAUAUACUACAUGUUAAAUAUUUAUUAAAGGAAAGUAGUGAGCCUGGAGGAAGGCAGGUGGGAGGGCAAAUAUAGACAGCAGGUGACAUGACUAAGCUUGCAUAUGCAGAAACCCCAUUUCCGGCUCUGCAGCAGCAAGGCCACAAGAUUGCCCAGCUCCAGCAACACUGCCAGGACCUGGCAGGUGGCAGGCAGAAUAAAAGCCAGAAUCUCACCAGUGGGAAGAGCCCCCAAGAUGCAGCCCAGACUGCCUGCUCUCCUGUGCACAAUUGCAGCCUUCAUCUGCCUUGGUCCAAGCAAGAUUGAGAGCGUCGACAUAUCUACAGAUGUGGUGUAUGAGGAAGAGGGACAAUCUGUGACCUUGGAAUGCAAGUUCACAGUCAGCUUUGCUUACUACAUGAUGUACUGGUAUCGACAGUCUUCCAGUAGAGAAAUGACUCGCAUAAUUGAUAUUUACUCUCAAAAUAGGCAAAACAGUGAAGGGCGAUAUUCUGUGGAGUUUUACAAAGAGAGCCAAACUCUAAAGCUCACCAUCUCGAGCUUGACACUGAGUGACUCGGACGUCUAUUUCUGCGCUGUCAGAGAGGUGCACGGUGAUGGCAGUGGCAGGGAGUGCCUUACAAAAACCCCCAGGGCUCAACACCAGACAGCCACCUGCUCCAGGAGCCAAGGAGAGAACAGCCCACAGAACAGGAAGAGGGUAGACACAGGCAUGGUAGGUGGCUCUUCGGGGUCUAGAGAGAAGGUAAUGAAUGUUCUAAAAACAAUUUUCCCACAUUUGAUAUUAAAGAAAGAGUUGUGGUUACAAGAGCAUUUUCAUCUCUGAAUCUGGUACCUAAGCACGGCUGAUCCAAGGUGUACCUCUGUCAUUUCUGCCUGCCCAACAUCCACCCCCCUUUUUGGUGACAGCACCAUGAUUUUCCCUGGAUAAACAAGCCUCCCACCCCACAACUGGGUUUGGAUGAGGCUAACCCCAACCUUGGACUCCCGACCCAUGAGUACAGUUCAUCUCUGACCACAGCCAUUGGUUUAAGGAUAGGAACAUGACCCAAGCCCACAUCCCCAAAUUUAAUAUGGAGCUAUUGAGAAUGCUGUUGGAGAUGGAAGAGGCUAGGACAUUAUUAAAAAGCCAUGAGAAGCCGAAAAUGGAGUCUUUUCCCCCCUACAAAAUCAAAUCAAGACCCAAUUACAAUUUCUACCUCUCCCAGAAAAUGUGACUUUAAAACAGUCAGUCAGGAAGUUCCCAUUGUGGCUCAGCGGUAAUGAACCCAACUAGUAGCCAUGUGGACACCAGUUCAAUCCCUGGCCUUGCUCAGUGGAUUAAGAACCCAGUGUCUGUAGGUGUAGGACAGCAGCCAUAGCUCCACCUGGGGUAAGACCUUAGGUGGGGGGGGCGCCCAAAAAAAAAAAAAAAAAAAAAAAAAAGAAAGAAAAAAAAAAGAAAUAACAUAAAAUAAAAUGGUCAAUCAGAAACGUCCUGGUUAACACCAAUGCGGUCAUCUGCAUGAUAAAAAGCCCUAUACUUCCCUUUGCCCAGAAGAAAAUGACCUGGCCUGAAAUCACCCUUUUUUUUCCUUUUGCUAAUAUCUUCUUGCCCCUUCCUUCUUCUGCCAGUCAAGACCUUCUAUUCUCCACAUAGCUCUUCAGAGCGCCCUUCAAGUUAAUAGAUGGGAUGCUGCCCAAUUCACGAAUCAUUGAAUAAAGCCAAUUGGAUCUUCCAAUUUAUUCAGCUGAAUUUUGUUUUUUAACAAUAUAAACU
RNAcentral lists this long non-coding RNA (1795 nucleotides) under Sus scrofa (pig). Its description in RNAcentral is "lncRNA (ENSSSCG00005008769.1)". Lineage: Eukaryota; Metazoa; Chordata; Mammalia; Artiodactyla; Suidae. The record is from RNAcentral.